Molecule: transfer-messenger RNA, 312 nt
Filed under: chicken gut metagenome
Rfam family: transfer-messenger RNA
About the family: Bacterial tmRNA, also known as 10Sa RNA or SsrA, is named for its dual tRNA and mRNA-like properties.
Source: RNAcentral
GGUAAGCAUGCCGAAGGCUCGGCUUCGUUAAAACGGAAAUCUUAAAUUUAAAUGCAGACAAUCAUCGUCUCGCUUACGCUGCUUAAUUAGCGUAUGUCUUCCGUGCGGUUCCUAUCGCCGUGCGGCGGGCAUCAUUUGAGAUAGGGAACGGUCUGUUUGUUUUUGCCGCGGCAGGCAGGCUGUAUUUUGCGGCUCACGUUCCGUCGGGUUUGUUCGCCGAAACGACGGAAAAGGGAUAAAAGACGGACUAAGCAUGUAGAAAAUCCACUCAAAGCCGUUAAGACUCGGGUGCAAGUCCCGACUGGUCCACCA